Molecule: long non-coding RNA, 3959 nt
Filed under: Heterocephalus glaber (naked mole-rat)
Lineage: Eukaryota; Metazoa; Chordata; Mammalia; Rodentia; Bathyergidae
Description: lncRNA (ENSHGLG00000050934.1)
Source: RNAcentral
CAGGUGUGUCCAGAAAGAGUGCACCCUCCGCCCUCAUGUAUACAAACACAUUAACCUUUCCCCUGGCCAGACGAAGACUGUGAAGUAUUUCUAAAAAAUUGGGUGUCCUCGUUACCAAGAGCUGUGGCUUGAUGUUUAUUUCGUCCCUGAAAGUUGGCAAAGGGACAAACCUUUACGGGGUUGCACACAAAAUGUGCUUUUGCCCAUUUGGGUAUUUAACAGGGGAGCUGAUGUUCUGGUGGAUGGGUUUUGAUGAGGAGAUAAGGGCAGCUUCCCAUUUUGGCAGUGGAGGAAUGUUCACCAUAUUUGGAUUUGCUUCACUUCUUGGACACAGAUUCCCAAAGCUCAUGUGAACGUUGGUGAUGGUUCAGAGAGAAAAUUGCAGGCCUCACCCACAGCCUUGACAGCGUAGUUUCUUGGAAUCAAGAGUCAACACUGGGCUAUUUCCAAAGAUUAAAUCUUGAAAGCUCGGUGGGAGGCUGUAGCAGGAGGGCAGAGAUGUCCACACACUCAGAUAUGAAAAAUGGUCUUCCACUAGGAAGUCUUCCUCUUCAGCUAAGGCCCUGGAAGUAGUGAAGAGAAAGGGGCCCUUUCUGACCAUGCUCACAGGGAUGGAUUAAACAGGCCCUAUUUUUGCAAGAAAUGGAGCUGCACAGGGUGGCCAGCUCAUCAUCAGCUGCUCAUGUCACCCUGUUGGGGGCUGUCACCUGUAUGUGGGUCAGGCCCAGCCCAGGGCACGCAGAGUGGAAGCUGCAAUGCUGCCCUCCUUCACUCGCCAAGCAGUAUGUAUUGGGUGUCACCAUGGCCACCUAGACUAUCUGACUCCUCCUUCUAAUCUGCACCAAGGUGCCUUGUAUGGGCAAUGCCAGUACUGACUGUCCCACCCUGUUCCCCAUGCCUGUCCAGAGUUACUGUCCUGACUUUGGGUGAAUUAACAAUGCUCAUGAACUAAUUAUGUUUAAUGUAAAAGAUGAGCUAUUUUAUCUCAAUUUUAGAUAAUUUUAUAGAUGAACAUAAAAAUAUUACCAUUUAUGUGAAGUAUGCAUGUAUAUAUAAAAGUGUGUGUAUAUAUAGAUAUAUAGAUAGUUGGAUAUACAUUUUUAUGUAUCAGAAGUUAGGACAACUUUAAAAAAUAAAAGAAGUCAAGAUGAUUUAAAUUUGGUAACUUUAAAAUAAAAAAAGCUGUUCUGCAGUUUGGAAUCAGUUUUAUAUAUGGAUUUCUGGGCUUCACAGAAAUAUGUACUAUUUGAUUCCAUUUCAGCAGAUAGCCAUGAAGUGCCAGUCGCUGUACUAAACAAUAUGUAUAGAGUAAAGAAAAAUGAUGCAAACACCCUGUGUCUACCUAGUAAUCUAGUAAGGCAGGCAAAUGAUAAGGUCCCAAAUAGAUUUGCAGCUGUAAAUUAUGAUGAGAACUAUGAGAGAAAUGCUAAGAUGGAGAAUAACAAAGCAGAUCUAUUUCAGAUUAUGUGACUGGUAAAAUCCUCAAGUGAAACCCGAGGAGUGAGUUGGAAGGAGUUUAUGAAGGUGAAUUAAAUGGAAGGAAUUGGUUAAAUGGGUAACAAGAAUCACAGGAAGCUGCUCCCAUCCCUAACUUCUGGGGAGCCAGAAAAAUUGAAGAUGGUACAAGCGGAAGCUUCUGGGGAGCCCCUGAGGACCUGUGGAGACACUUGCUGUCCAGUUGCUUCUGGUCCCUGAGGUGCUGAUGUGGAGUUAAUGGUAGGAGGCCUGAGAAAGCUGGGUGCUAGAACCAUGUGAUGUACCUCGAGGGGAAGCAUCCCUUCCUGAGGGUGGCCUAACAAAUACCACAGAACUAGAUGGUUGAAAACAACAGAAAUCCACUGUCUUAUAGGUGUGGAGGUUAAAAAUCUCAAAUUAGGUGAUUUUUUUUUUUUUUUUUUUUUUUUUCCUGAGGGAUAGAAGGGAGACUGUCUGGGCCUUCUAGCUUCUAGUAGCCUCCACCAUUGAUAUGUAGGUAGGGUUCUCUCCACUUCUCCCAUGGAUGUGUCUGCCUUCAUGUGCAAAUUUACCUUGUUGAAAGGACAACAGCCGGAUUAGGAUGCAGCCUAAUGACUUCCUCUUAAUUAGCUGCAAAGCCCCUAUUCCCAAAUAAGGUUAAAUCCACAGAUAUUGGCAAUUAGGACGUCAGCAUCAUCCAUAACACAAGACAAGAGGUUAGAAAGGAACACAUGCUAAGUAUCAACAGAGCUCUGGAGACUGGAGAACCUACCUAAGAUGUGGGGCUGGACUUCCAAAAGAGGCUAUCUUGGUAUUGGCAGGUGACAGUGCCUGCACCUGUAGCCAGCCACAGUACUAUCAGUUUUGAAUACAUUUUCCUUCGAUGGAAUUGGAGGGUGAGCUAAUGGGACCAGAGUGUGUGCAGAAAUAUCACCAAAUCGCAAAAUAAUGGAAAACAGUCUACAUCACGAAUUACCCCAUAAACAGAAUGAUCACAGAUCCUUUGUGUUAUGAAAGCCCCACGUGUGCAUUUCUCUAAAUGAAAGUCUCCUGAACUUAAACCCAUGGACAUUUUAAAGAAAAUGCAGUAAGCCAAUGCUUCCUUGGCUAAAAACGUGUCUGUGCUCUGCAAACAAUGAACAGAACCCAGGAAGGGAGAUGCAGACCGCCUGCUGAGCCAGUCCUAGUUCUCUUCCCUGGAAAUCUUGUCCUUGCACAGAACUUCUGGAAACCAAUAAAAGAAAACUAAUGUGCUACCCAGAGCAGAGAAAAUGGAAAUCUGCUGAGUUAAUAUUGUGGGUCAUAAAAGUCACUCAAAGAGAAUUCUUUCAAUAAGGUGCCUACCAUAGUGGUUAUAUAAUUCUUCCAUGAAACUUACUUUUCUCUUUCUGAAAAGAAGUUUUGUUUUUUCUCUCAAAGAAUAAUGGUACUGCUUAACAUCCCCAGAACACAAUGUGAAUGAGCUUUUAAAAUUUUAUUCUAAUUACAAGAGAAAUAUAUUCUGAGUAUAGAAGAUGAGGAACAUAGAGAAAACCCUGAAGGAAUCAAACAACCCUAUUGUGAGAUAAAACUCAGGUAACAUUUUGGGAUAUUUAACAAUGUCUAUUGCCUUGACGCCAAAAAGUCGGCAUUAUUGUCGAACAUUAUUAUUAUUAAAGUUUGGAUGUAUUUCAUUUGAAUGAUGGCUAUAAAUAAAUUUUAAGCAGAAAGCAAAAAUGACUUUUCUUUUGAUUCCAGGGCCUUCUCAUUAAACUACAUCCUCAAUCCUUUCUUGUUUUCUUAUUUUGAGUCAGAGCCUUGCUAAACUGCCAUGCUGUUUAAAUUGGACUCAAAACAUGCAAUCCUCCUGCCUUACCCUUCCAAAAUAUUGGAAUUACAGGCAUGCAUUGGAAUCACAGGCAUUUAAAUUUUAAAACAGAUACAGCAACACCUGUAAAGAACAGUUGGGCAUUAUGCUCUUGAAAUUUUUGAAAAACUAGAUGCUUAGUUAAUGCUUCCUUUACUUAAAAUAUUUUAGUCUCUGUGUUGGAAUUGCCCUCAAAACUGGUAUAUGAGCCAAAACACAAAAGCAUCUUGUCAUUUUAUAGCCUAAAUGCUUCUUUAAAACCAGUUCUUUUUCUUGUCCUUCCCUACUCCCUCUUUUACAUAUUUGAUUUGUUUUUCAGGUCAUCUUCACCUGGAGAAGCAAAGCAGAGCUAUUUUCAGAUCAGUUGUGAAGAUAGGCUCAGCUUCAGCUAUUUCUACUGAUGGGAAAUGCUAUCUUGCAUAAAUAUUCCAUAAUUAUAUGCUAGUCAUUGUAUCCAGACUGUGCAGUAUGUCUGUUCCUCUCACAUUUGCAGAAGAGCAGCUCAGCAGCUACAAAACUGACAAAUUCAAAAUGUAGUUUUUAGUAACCUAAUGAUGGAGGUAAACUUUUCACCUUCAGCUUUUUCUCCUUUGGAGGUUAGUCAUUUCAAGCACAGAAGUUGCAAGAUUUCUUUGGAAGACUGAAGAUGCAGGGAAGU